Molecule: ribosomal RNA, 476 nt
Filed under: uncultured bacterium
Lineage: Bacteria
Description: bacterial SSU rRNA
Rfam family: Bacterial small subunit ribosomal RNA
Source: RNAcentral
CGCUGGCGGCGUGCCUAACACAUGCAAGUCGAGCGGAGCCAACCGAUAGAUCCCUUCGGGGUGACAUCGGGGAAGCUUAGCGGCGGACGGGUGAGUAACGCGUGAGUAACCUGCCCAUAAGAGGGGAAUAACACAGCGAAAGUUGUGCUAAUACCGCAUAAUAUGAUUUUACCGCAUGGUAGAAACAUCAAAGAUUUAUUGCCUAAGGAUGGACUCGCGUCUGAUUAGAUAGUUGGUGAGGUAACGGCUCACCAAGUCGACGAUCAGUAGCCGGACUGAGAGGUUGACCGGCCACAUUGGGACUGAGAUACGGCCCAGACUCCUACGGGAGGCAGCAGUGGGGAAUAUUGGGCAAUGGACGCAAGUCUGACCCAGCAACGCCGCGUGAAGGAAGAAGGCUUUCGGGUUGUAAACUUCUUUUAGUAGGGACGAAGAACGUGACGGUACCUACAGAAAAAGCAACGGCUAACUACGUG